UUGCAGGAUAGGUUACAGAGCAGCUUGUGCAGUACUGCUUUGUCCCCCCCCCCUGCACACAGACUUGUCUCCCAUACUAUCCUGGUCUGUGCAUCCCACAGCAGACCGGGAUGUUUGGUCUCAGACAU
Molecule: small nucleolar RNA, 128 nt
Filed under: Hucho hucho (huchen)
Lineage: Eukaryota; Metazoa; Chordata; Actinopteri; Salmoniformes; Salmonidae
Description: Small nucleolar RNA SNORA63 (ENSHHUG00000037746.1)
Source: RNAcentral